GAUGAACGCUGGCGGCGUGCCUAAUACAUGCAAGUCGAGCGAACAGACGAGGAGCUUGCUCCUCUGAUGUUAGCGGCGGACGGGUGAGUAACACGUGGAUAACCUACCUAUAAGACUGGGAUAACUUCGGGAAACCGGAGCUAAUACCGGAUAACAUGUUGAACCGCAUGGUUCAACAGUGAAAGACGGUCUUGCUGUCACUUAUAGAUGGAUCCGCGCCGCAUUAGCUAGUUGGUAAGGUAACGGCUUACCAAGGCAACGAUGCGUAGCCGACCUGAGAGGGUGAUCGGCCACACUGGAACUGAGACACGGUCCAGACUCCUACGGGAGGCAGCAGUAGGGAAUCUUCCGCAAUGGGCGAAAGCCUGACGGAGCAACGCCGCGUGAGUGAAGAAGGUCUUCGGAUCGUAAAACUCUGUUAUUAGGGAAGAACAAAUGUGUAAGUAACUAUGCACGUCUUGACGGUACCUAACCAGAAAGCCACGGCUAACUACGUG
RNAcentral lists this ribosomal RNA (497 nucleotides) under uncultured bacterium. RNAcentral describes it as "partial 16S ribosomal RNA". It matches the Rfam family "Bacterial small subunit ribosomal RNA", at positions 28 to 507 of the family's 1533-position model. The record is from RNAcentral.